RNAcentral lists this transfer RNA (82 nucleotides) under Candidatus Pacearchaeota archaeon. Its description in RNAcentral is "tRNA-Ser". It matches the Rfam family "tRNA". From Rfam's summary of the family: Transfer RNA (tRNA) molecules are approximately 80 nucleotides in length. Their secondary structure includes four short double-helical elements and three loops (D, anti-codon, and T loops). Further hydrogen bonds mediate the characteristic L-shaped molecular structure. tRNAs have two regions of fundamental functional importance: the anti-codon, which is responsible for specific mRNA codon recognition, and the 3' end, to which the tRNAs corresponding amino acid is attached (by aminoacyl-tRNA synthetases). tRNAs cope with the degeneracy of the genetic code in two manners: having more than one tRNA (with a specific anti-codon) for a particular amino acid; and 'wobble' base-pairing, i.e. permitting non-standard base-pairing at the 3rd anti-codon position. The record is from RNAcentral. Lineage: Archaea; Nanobdellati.
GCCGUCGUGGGACAAUGGUACUCCGCCUGCCUUGAGAGCAGGUUGCCUCCGGGCUUUCCCGGUUCGAUUCCGGGCGACGGCG